UACAGAGGGUGCAAGCGUUAAUCGGAAUUACUGGGCGUAAAGCGUGUGUAGGUGGUUGGAUAAGUUAGAUGUGAAAUCCCCGGGCUUAACCUGGGCAUUGCGUUUAAAACUGUUUAACUAGAGUACUGCAGGGGAGACUGGAAUUCCUGGUGUAGCGGUGAAAUGCGCAGAUAUCAGGAGGAACACCGGUGGCGAAGGCGGGUCUCUGGGCAGUAACUGACGCUGAGGAGCGAAAAGCGUGGGGAGCGAACAGG
Molecule: ribosomal RNA, 254 nt
Filed under: uncultured bacterium
Lineage: Bacteria
Description: partial 16S ribosomal RNA
Rfam family: Bacterial small subunit ribosomal RNA
Source: RNAcentral